GCCGUCAUAGCUUAGUGGCAAAGCACUCCCUUGGUAAGGGAGAGAGCGUGAGUCCGAUUCUCACUGACGGCUCAA
RNAcentral lists this transfer RNA (75 nucleotides) under Candidatus Nomurabacteria bacterium. RNAcentral's name for it is "tRNA-Thr". It matches the Rfam family "tRNA". From Rfam's summary of the family: Transfer RNA (tRNA) molecules are approximately 80 nucleotides in length. Lineage: Bacteria; Candidatus Nomuraibacteriota. The record is from RNAcentral.